This 485-nucleotide ribosomal RNA is filed under the name uncultured bacterium. RNAcentral describes it as "partial 16S ribosomal RNA". It matches the Rfam family "Bacterial small subunit ribosomal RNA", at positions 28 to 523 of the family's 1533-position model. The record is from RNAcentral.
GAUGAACGCUGGCGGCGUGCUUAACACAUGCAAGUCGAACGGAAAGGCCCAAGCUUGCUUGGGUACUCGAGUGGCGCACGGGUGAGUAACACGUGGGUGAUCUGCCCUGCACUUCGGGAUAAGCCUGGGAAACUGGGUCUAAUACCGGAUAGGACGAUGGUUUGGAUGCCAUUGUGGAAAGUUUUUUCGGUGUGGGAUGAGCUCGCGGCCUAUCAGCUUGUUGGUGGGGUAAUGGCCUACCAAGGCGUCGACGGGUAGCCGGCCUGAGAGGGUGUACGGCCACAUUGGGACUGAGAUACGGCCCAGACUCCUACGGGAGGCAGCAGUGGGGAAUAUUGCACAAUGGGCGCAAGCCUGAUGCAUCGACGCCGCGUGGGGGAUGACGGCCUUCGGGUUGUAAACUCCUUUCGCUAGGGACGAAGCUUAUUUUGUGACGGUACCUGGAGAAGAAGCACCGGCUAACUACGUGCCAGCCGCCGCCGUAA